This 70-nucleotide transfer RNA is filed under the name Melanips sp. ZJUH 20220003. Its description in RNAcentral is "tRNA-Arg". The record is from RNAcentral. Lineage: Eukaryota; Metazoa; Arthropoda; Insecta; Hymenoptera; Figitidae.
UUGAAUAAAUCUAAAAUAUUUGGAAUUUAAUUUCGACUUAAAUGUAUGAUUUGAUAAAAAUCUAUUCAAA